RNAcentral lists this ribosomal RNA (488 nucleotides) under uncultured bacterium. RNAcentral describes it as "partial 16S ribosomal RNA". The record is from RNAcentral.
GUAGUUAGCCGGGGCUUCCUCCUUGGCUACCGUCACUUUCUUCGUCACCAAGGACAGAGGUUUACAACCCGAAGGCCUUCUUCCCUCACGCGGCGUUGCUGGGUCAGGCUUUCGCCCAUUGCCCAAUAUUCCCCACUGCUGCCUCCCGUAGGAGUCUGGACCGUGUCUCAGUUCCAGUGUGGCCGAUCAGCCUCUCAGCUCGGCUACCCAUCGUUGACUAGGUGGGCCGUUACCCCGCCUACUAUCUAAUGGGACGCGAGCCCCUCCCUCUGCGGAUUGCUCCUUUCAUACACUUAUUCAUGCGAAUUAUGUACAAUAUGCGGUAUUAGCGUCCGUUUCCGGAAGUUAUCCCCCACUGAUAGGCAGGUUGCUCACGCAUUACUCACCCGUCCGCCACUAGGUUAACGAAGCAAGCUCCUUAACCCCGUUCGACUUGCAUGUGUUAGGCACGCCGCCAGCGUUCGUCCUAAGCCAGGAUCAAACUCUGA